This 955-nucleotide non-coding RNA is filed under the name Diplomystes mesembrinus. Its description in RNAcentral is "12S ribosomal RNA". It matches the Rfam family "Bacterial small subunit ribosomal RNA". Lineage: Eukaryota; Metazoa; Chordata; Actinopteri; Siluriformes; Diplomystidae. The record is from RNAcentral.
CAAAGGCUUGGUCCUGACUUUACUAUCAGCUCUACCCCAAAUUAUACAUGCAAGUAUCCGCACUCCUGUGAGAAUGCCCUUUAUCCCCUGCCCGGGGACGAGGAGCGGGCAUCAGGCACGCAUCCUGCCCAAGACGCCUUGCUAUGCCACACCCCUACGGGAAUUCAGCAGUAAUAAAUAUUAAGCCAUAAGUGAAAACUUGACUUAGUUAGAGGUUAAGAGGGUCGGUAAAAUUCGUGCCAGCCACCGCGGUUAUACGAAAGACCCUAGUUGAUAGCCACGGCGUAAAGGGUGGUUAAGGAAAACCAACAAUAAAGCUAAAGAUCCCCUAAGCCGUCAUACGCACUCCGGGGCCGCGAAACCCAAACACGAAAGUAGCUUUACCAAAUUUUUUACCUGACCCCACGAAAGCUAAGGAACAAACUGGGAUUAGAUACCCCACUAUGCUUAGCCCUAAACCUAGAUGUAAUUUUACAAGUUCAUCCGCCCGGGUACUACGAGCACAGCUUAAAACCCAAAGGACUUGGCGGUGCCUCAGAUCCACCUAGAGGAGCCUGUUCUAGAACCGAUAAUCCUCGUUGAACCUCACCAUCUCUUGUUUUUCCCGCCUAUAUACCGCCGUCGUCAGCUUACCCUGUGAAGGUCCAACAGUAAGCAAAAUGAGCACAACUCAAAACGUCAGGUCGAGGUGUAGCGUACGAGAUGGGAAGAAAUGGGCUACAUUUUCUACAACAGAAUACCACGAAUGGCACCCUGAAAUAUAGUGCCUGAAGGCGGAUUUAGUAGUAAAAAGCAAACAGAGAGUCCUUUUGAAUUAGGCUCUGAGGCGCGCACACACCGCCCGUCACUCUCCCCUCCUACUCAUAACACCCUAAAAUACUUAAUAAAAUUAAUCACACCACGGGGAGGCAAGUCGUAACAUGGUAAGUGUACCGGAAGGUGCACUUGGAAUAAC